AGUUAGCUCAGUUGGCAGAGCGCUCCACUGGAGAUAAAGAGGUCUUUGGUUCGAGCCCAGGGACCUC
Molecule: transfer RNA, 67 nt
Filed under: Ixodes scapularis (black-legged tick)
Lineage: Eukaryota; Metazoa; Arthropoda; Arachnida; Ixodida; Ixodidae
Description: tRNA-Ser
Source: RNAcentral